This 324-nucleotide ribosomal RNA is filed under the name Pantoea sp. RNAcentral describes it as "bacterial SSU rRNA". It matches the Rfam family "Bacterial small subunit ribosomal RNA", at positions 1058 to 1382 of the family's 1533-position model. The record is from RNAcentral. Lineage: Bacteria; Pseudomonadati; Pseudomonadota; Gammaproteobacteria; Enterobacterales; Erwiniaceae.
GCUCGUGUUGUGAAAUGUUGGGUUAAGUCCCGCAACGAGCGCAACCCUUAUCCUUUGUUGCCAGCGAUUCGGUCGGGAACUCAAAGGAGACUGCCGGUGAUAAACCGGAGGAAGGUGGGGAUGACGUCAAGUCAUCAUGGCCCUUACGAGUAGGGCUACACACGUGCUACAAUGGCGCAUACAAAGAGAAGCGACCUCGCGAGAGCAAGCGGACCUCACAAAGUGCGUCGUAGUCCGGAUCGGAGUCUGCAACUCGACUCCGUGAAGUCGGAAUCGCUAGUAAUCGUGGAUCAGAAUGCCACGGUGAAUACGUUCCCGGGCCUU